AGAAGGUUUUUUCAUCCACUCCAGUGCCAAUAGGUGCUGAUGCCUUUAAUCAAUUCUCAGCUAGUGACUUUUCAAAGAAGGGCUCAGGCAAUGGUGACAAGAUAGAAUAUAUAGAAAUUACUGAAGAAGAGAUGGAGAUGUAUUUAGAUUUGCAUCCUUUCACUAAUGCUUCACCUUAUACUGUUGUGGAGACAAUGUCACUAGCUAAGGCUCGCGUGCUAUUUCGAGAACUUGGUUUGAGGCACCUGCUUGUGAUACCCAAGAUCUCUAGUAGAUCUCCUGUUGUGGGUAUAUUGACGAGGCAUGACUUCAUGCCAGAACAUAUACUGGG
This 331-nucleotide unclassified non-coding RNA is filed under the name Hevea brasiliensis (rubber tree). Lineage: Eukaryota; Viridiplantae; Streptophyta; Magnoliopsida; Malpighiales; Euphorbiaceae. The record is from RNAcentral.